AAGACUAUAGACCUGCGGAGUACCUGCGGAAGGAUCAUUAUUGAAUUAUGUUUCUGAAUGGGUUGUAGCUGGCUCGUCAGAGCAUGUGCACGCCUGUUUGGACUUCAUUUUCAUCCACCUGUGCACCUAUUGUAGUCUUUGGUUGGGUAUCAAGGAAGUGGUCAGCCUAUCAGCACUUGCUGGAUGUGAGGACUUGCAGUGUGAAAGCUUUGCUGUCCUUUACUUGAUCAUGGAGUUGUU
RNAcentral lists this unclassified non-coding RNA (240 nucleotides) under soil metagenome. RNAcentral's name for it is "partial contains 5.8S ribosomal RNA, internal transcribed spacer 2, and large subunit ribosomal RNA". The record is from RNAcentral.